CAAAAAUUUUACUUCUGAAUCUAGGAUAUUUAGCAAAACUACACCCAAAUCCUACACUCACAAAAAAAAAUUAAUAAAAGACCUGGUAUUAAUAACCCUUACAAUAUAUAUAUAUUAACACAAAAAAGAAACCUCGUAUACAAGACACGUUGAUGGCACAAAACAACAUACACAAAAAAAAAACUUAACCUAGUUAUUUUUAUGAACUUCUGUUUUAUCAAUUAUAAUUAAAAUUAUUUUUCUUUUUCUUAUAGUGUUGGCGCGAUAACGUACCCAGUGGAGCCUGAGGGUAAUUCUGGCAACCCGAUCCUAGGCGGUUAUGCUCCAGCAAAGAGCUUAUGAUCACCAGCCUGGACAGUUACUUCUUAAGGUGGACUUAUCCAGAUUUGACCAAGAAUCGGAUCCGGGGAGAAACAAAAAAAAACACCCUGGCCUCCGCUCGUCUGAGCCUGUUGGAGACCAGGAAUAACCAGUAUAGGUUUUGUUGGGACACUACACACAAGCAGAAUGGAGAGACAAAAAAAAGAAACAUCAGUACCGAUAAAACAAUCACUCACAUAUUUACACUUAUAACUCACAUUAAAGGGUAAUUCCCCAAAAUAAUAAAUAUAGACCGAACACUGA
Stomoxys calcitrans (stable fly) is the source of this 624-nucleotide long non-coding RNA. RefSeq lists it as uncharacterized. Lineage: Eukaryota; Metazoa; Arthropoda; Insecta; Diptera; Muscidae. The transcript has 2 exons. The record is from RefSeq and is a predicted model, not a curated record.